AUUGAACGCUGGCGGCAGGCCUAACACAUGCAAGUCGGACGGUAGCACAGAGGAGCUUGCUCCUCGGGGGACGAGUGGCGGACGGGUGAGUAAUGUCUGGGGAUCUGCCCGAUAGAGGGGGAUAACCACUGGAAACGGUGGCUAAUACCGCAUAACGUCGCAAGACCAAAGAGGGGGACCUUCGGGCCUCUCACUAUCAGAUGAACCCAGAUGGGAUUAGCUAGUAGGCGGGGUAAUGGCCCACCUAGGCGACGAUUCCUAGCUGGUCUGAGAGGAUGACCCGCCACACUGGAACUGAGACACGGUCCAGACUCCUACGGGAGGCAGCAGUGGGGAAUAUUGCACAAUGGGCGCAAGCCUGAUGCAGCCAUGCCGCGUGUAUGAAGAAGGCCUUCGGGUUGUAAAGUACUUUCAGCGGGGAGGAAGGCGAUAAGGUUAAUAACCUUGUCGAUUGACGUUACCCGCAGAAGAAGCACCGGCUAACUCCGUGCCAGCCGCCGCAGUAA
RNAcentral lists this ribosomal RNA (506 nucleotides) under uncultured bacterium. RNAcentral's name for it is "partial 16S ribosomal RNA". It matches the Rfam family "Bacterial small subunit ribosomal RNA", at positions 30 to 523 of the family's 1533-position model. The record is from RNAcentral.